UACAGAGGCCACGAGCGUUAGGCGGAAUCACUGGGCUUAAAGCGUGUGUAGGUGGAUCGGUAAGUACCUUGUGAAAUCCCACGACUCAAUCGUGGAACUGCUUGGUAUACUGCCAGUCUUGAGGCACUCAGGGGCAAGCGGAACAGAUGGUGGAGCGGUGAAAUGCGUAGAUAUCGGAAGGAACAUCAGUGGCGAAAGCGACUUCCUGGACCAGUACCGACGUUCAGGCACGAAAGCGUGGGGAGCAAACAGG
RNAcentral lists this ribosomal RNA (253 nucleotides) under uncultured bacterium. RNAcentral's name for it is "partial 16S ribosomal RNA". It matches the Rfam family "Bacterial small subunit ribosomal RNA", at positions 524 to 776 of the family's 1533-position model. The record is from RNAcentral.